ACUUUUGAGAGACUGGAUUCGUCUCCAGGUGUGAGGGAGGUCUCGUGGGACAGCGUUGGUUACUAGGAGAGCAAACUGUUCCACAAGGAACCUGGACUCUGGCUCCCUUCGUCUCCAGCCCGUGCUCCUGUCUCACGUGUGUCUGUUUCCCUUCUUGUUUUUCCAUGACUCAUGAAGCAUCAUGAGGUCCUCACCAGAAGCUGAGCGAACGCCAGAGCCGUGCUCUGAAAUUUCAGAACCGUGGGACAAAGUCAACCUCUUUCCAUUACAAAUCCCCAGUGGCAGACGUGCAGCAGAAACCGGAUCGAGGCAGUCCGCACCUUAGCCUUGGGGAAGUCGUGAUUCAGGUCUCCUCAGACACUUUUAAGAGGAAUCCACCCACGGGGCCAGGAAAAGGAAGAGACGCGAUCAGCCACUUUGCAUGGCUCUAAGCGAAUCCUGAACAUGGAUGACCUUUGCUCUGCUAACCUGCAAAAUCAAUGACCGGCUGGAAACCUGGAUCCUGGUGAAGUAAUUGGAAAACAAAGAGACAUUCUCAGAAAAAGACGAACCCAAGUCCACUCAGAACUGGUUCACUUAAUGCUUCUGGUUAUUUGGACACUUCCUCAAGAUGCCUAUCCCAGCCCCGCUGACAAUUGUGUUAGUGUAAGGGCAGCAGUGGCAACGCGUGUGAGGAAGACACAGUGUACGGAGCGGCAGUCAGGCAGCACUAAAGGUGUGUGCCGAGUGCCACUCAAUCCCAGCACCACGGAGGCAGAGACAAGAGGACCCCAGCCUACCUGAGUUCCAGGCCGACAGAGACCUCCCACCAAUGAACACAGAUAUAUUGACAACUUACAUAGAAAGAGUGAAGAGGAUCAUUGCCCUGGGCUCUCCAUCCCCUACCCUGCCACUAAAGGUCUCCUAUGACUGAGAGAGCACUGGGGGAUGCACACAGCGGUGCACUUUAAAAUGAUAAUAGUGUCAAGGAAAGCUUGAAAAUGUCCUUCCUCAAACAAAACCACAGACAGAUGAAGUCUUCCUUGGGUACCACCCAGCUCCCUAACCACUGAAGAAGGUGAAGCACCACACAGUUUAUCACUCAACAGGCUUUUGAGGUGACACGGGAGCAUCAGGACACCCGAGCUCUCCUCAGGUACCUGGCUGCUCCAAAUGGCAGGUGCUCCUGUCUGCUUCAUCAGGAUGGGAACUCAUGGCCUGGCAACCGUGACUGAUUACCAAUCAUCUCACACAGCCUGCCUGCCUACUGAGCAUCACACACAAACACACACACACACACAAAAUUACAAACACACACACAUAAACAAAACCACACACGCACAUACAUAGAUGCACACAGACACAGAUAUAAACACACAGGAGCACACAAACAUAAACAAAUACGUACAAAGACAGAUUAUACAAAUGUGUACACAUAAUACACACAGGAACAUAAAUAUGCUCAAACAGACACACGAACAGCCAUAUAUGCAAGCUCACACAGACAAAAAGACAAACAUUGACAACACAACACACAGGAACAUAAAUACAAAACACAAAGACAUAACAUGCACAAACACACAUAAACAUACAAACACACACAAACACAUACCGUGGUUAUAGUUAUGUGUCUCACCACUGGCCCAGAAACACUAGCACCAAGUGACUGUGGACGGAAAUCUCUGAAGUCACUUUCUCCCUUAUUUGGCUUUAUCAGCAGAUCUCUCCUAUCUCACUAUACUGUACUGACAUAAAGAAAAGAGGUGUUUUGCUGUAGAGAUGCAAAAGUGACCAUCACGACAGUCACUUCUGGUCACAAUGCAUCGACUUAUCAUAGUCUACAGUUGGGAUUGUGGCUUCUGUAGCCCCCACCUCCAGGAAUCCUCAAGACUCUGAAUGCAAGAGAUGGCACCUGCCUCCAUCAUUUCUAACAAUAGCAGCAAGCAAAGUUGAUAAAUUCAGUCAGACCCAGGGAUACAGAAAGAGCCCAGGACUUCUGCCCUGACCACCUGUUGAUUUGGCUCUCUUUCGGGCUGGGUUCGUUCCAGUAGAUCUUUCCCUCUUCAAUCAUUCACACUCAAUAUUCAUUGCCUUUACUCAGGUCAUGACACCCUGUUCAAGGGAUGAGAUAGACACAUUCGUCUAGUGUCUGUCCCUAGAUCCGAAAGUGAGGGCUAACUCUACUCUCAAACACUGAGCCAUGUUGAGACAGUCUAAAAAAGGAGAUAUUUCUACCAGAGUUACUAAAUUACUAAAAGAAAUUACUAGUAAAUUUAUUAAAGAAUUACAAUUUAAAUUAAAGUAAAAUUAAUUAAAAUUAAAUUAAAAGAAUUACUAACAGAAAAUUACUACCAAAAUGGACUUUAAAAAGACAAAAUAAAAAUUUGAUAAUGUUAGAAUAAGUAAGUUAAGGGAUUUGCUGUUACAAAGAAAGAAAAUAACAACAGUAUAGUACGUUCAGGAAGACAUAGACCUAACUCAGUGUUCUCAGAGGUGUGGUCCCCUCAGGUCUGAAGCAAUCAGCAGAGCUCUCCUAUCUCACUAUACUGUACUGAUGAAAGAAAAGAGAUUCUUGAUACCUUGAUGUCUGCAUUUCUCAGUGAACCUCAUACUAUUAAGUUUAUAUAGAGAGAGCCUGGCUUAAAUCCAGUACUGGG
Long non-coding RNA from Chionomys nivalis (European snow vole), 2636 nucleotides. RefSeq lists it as uncharacterized. The transcript is spliced from 3 exons. The record is from RefSeq and is a predicted model, not a curated record. NCBI's taxonomy places the organism in Eukaryota, Metazoa, Chordata, Mammalia, Rodentia, Cricetidae.